RNAcentral lists this ribosomal RNA (397 nucleotides) under uncultured bacterium. Its description in RNAcentral is "bacterial SSU rRNA". It matches the Rfam family "Bacterial small subunit ribosomal RNA", at positions 30 to 428 of the family's 1533-position model. The record is from RNAcentral.
AUUGAACGCUGGCGGCAUGCCUUACACAUGCAAGUCGAACGGCAGCACGGGAGCAAUCCUGGUGGCGAGUGGCGAACGGGUGAGUAAUAUAUCGGAACGUGCCCAGUCGUGGGGAUAACGUAGCGAAAGCUACGCUAAUACCGCAUACUAUCUAUGGAUGAAAGCGGGGGAUCGCAAGACCUCGCGCGAUUGGAGCGGCCGAUAUCAGAUUAGGUAGUUGGUGAGGUAAAGGCUCACCAAGCCGACGAUCUGUAGCUGGUCUGAGAGGACGACCAGCCACACUGGGACUGAGACACGGCCCAGACUCCUACGGGAGGCAGCAGUGGGGAAUUUUUGGGACAAUGGGCGCAAGCCUGAUCCAGCAAUGCCGCGUGCAGGAUGAAGGCCUCGGUUGUAA